This 195-nucleotide ribosomal RNA is filed under the name uncultured bacterium. RNAcentral describes it as "partial 16S ribosomal RNA". It matches the Rfam family "Bacterial small subunit ribosomal RNA", at positions 338 to 524 of the family's 1533-position model. The record is from RNAcentral.
CCUACGGGAGGCAGCAGUAGGGAAUCUUCCGCAAUGGACGAAAGUCUGACGGAGCAACGCCGCGUGAGUGAUGAAGGCUUUCGGGUCGUAAAACUCUGUUGUUAGGGAAGAACAGGUGCUAGUUGAAUAAGCUGGCACCUUGACGGUACCUAACCAGAAAGCCACGGCUAACUACGUGCCAGCAGCCGCGGUAAU